CGCGCAGGUGGUUUCCUAAGUCUGAUGUGAAAGCCCACGGCUCAACCGUGGAGGGUCAUUGGAAACUGGGAGACUUGAGUGCAGAAGAGGAUAGUGGAAUUCCAAGUGUAGCGGUGAAAUGCGUAGAUAUCAAGAGGAACACCGAUGGCGAAGGCAGCUCUCUGGUCCGUUUCUGACGCUGAGGUGCGAAAGCUAGGGUAGCGAACG
RNAcentral lists this ribosomal RNA (207 nucleotides) under uncultured bacterium. Its description in RNAcentral is "partial 16S ribosomal RNA". It matches the Rfam family "Bacterial small subunit ribosomal RNA", at positions 568 to 774 of the family's 1533-position model. The record is from RNAcentral.